This 274-nucleotide ribosomal RNA is filed under the name uncultured bacterium. Its description in RNAcentral is "partial 16S ribosomal RNA". It matches the Rfam family "Bacterial small subunit ribosomal RNA", at positions 79 to 348 of the family's 1533-position model. The record is from RNAcentral.
CUAAGUUUGAUGGCGACCGGCGCACGGGUGAGUAACACGUAUCCAACCUGCCGAUGACUCGGGGAUAGCCUUUCGAAAGAAAGAUUAAUACCCGAUGGCAUAGUUCUUCCGCAUGGUGGAACUAUUAAAGAAUUUCGGUCAUCGAUGGGGAUGCGUUCCAUUAGGUUGUUGGCGGGGUAACGGCCCACCAAGCCUUCGAUGGAUAGGGGUUCUGAGAGGAAGGUCCCCCACAUUGGAACUGAGACACGGUCCAAACUCCUACGGGAGGAGCAUG